RNAcentral lists this non-coding RNA (29 nucleotides) under Mus musculus (house mouse). The record is from RNAcentral. Lineage: Eukaryota; Metazoa; Chordata; Mammalia; Rodentia; Muridae.
UGCCAAGCAAGUUUUCAUAUGGGAACAGU